UACAUAACCCCCCAUCCAGCUCUGUAUGGACCCCUCCACAGCCAUUAACACUUCCCAAAGAGUCUGGCUGGCUUGGAUGAUGGAAAGGCUGGUGGUGGCUGUAACAGAUUUAGGAGGGAAGACUGAUAAAGGUAGAUGUGAGGAUAAAGGCUCCAGAGAGUCCAGGACAGCAGUAGAUGUGGCUGCUGGUCACUGGAAGGAGUUGUGGACAUAGAACAGGUGUCAAGAAAAAGGGAUAUGACUGACAUCAUAAAGCCACGGACCUGGGGCAGAAAAGGCCUGAGGAGUGGCCUGGGGCAGGUGUGCAAUAACAAUGUCCCCAUGACCUCAGACAAGUCCCCUGCCCAGGGACUCAUAGGCCUGCAGCAUCCUGUCCUGGGACCUUAACUUCUGAAUCCUGGUCUGUCUGAGGAACCCCACCAACUUCUACCAUAACCACUGGAACCACAGUAGGGUUCCUGCACAGGGCGUGGCCCUCUGAAGCUGUCACCUCACAAUGUCACCACACUGCCAGAGCUGCUUCAGUACACAGUCUCUGGGGCCCUCCUUCCUUCCCCCUCUUCCUUCCUUCUCACUUCACACAUGGAGAAGGAAGGCACUCUACUACUGAGGUGUACCCCUCUGCAGCCCUGCUGAGACAGUGGCAGGGAACCAGUCUCUGGGGACUCACCAGAGCACGUGGCUGUCUUGGGCCUCCUUUCCCCGCCUCCUAAGGGCUGGAAUCACAGGCACGCCUGCUGCUUUAACCUUGGUUUCCAAAUCCACGUUGCAUCUGAAGCGGAUGCUUACCCUGCAGACUGUGGGUUUUGGAGGAUCAGGAUGAAGGGGACACUCCACGAGCCACCUUGGACCAUGAGGUGGUGGAGGAAGCUGGGUGCUGAGGGUGGCAGGACUGGAUCUCUGACCCCCACUGCUGUGCCAGCUCUGUAAGCCCCCCACUCUAUAGACUUCUCCACAGGAAGAAAGAGAUUGCCUCCUGAAGCUGCUCUUGCCUUGUUCACCCUCACAGCCCAGACAAAUCCUGUUAGAGAUCCCUAGCAAUGUGUAGCAAUCAGGUUAUAGGUCUCUCCUCUGUGGCUGAU
This is a long non-coding RNA of Mus musculus (house mouse), 1082 nucleotides long. RefSeq annotates it as predicted gene, 41372. The transcript has 3 exons. NCBI's taxonomy places the organism in Eukaryota, Metazoa, Chordata, Mammalia, Rodentia, Muridae. The record is from RefSeq and is a predicted model, not a curated record.